GAUGAAUGCUGGCGGCGUGCCUAACACAUGCAAGUCGAGCGGCAGCGCGGGGUGAUUGCUCCCUGUCGGCGAGCGGCGGACGGCUGAGUAAUGCGUAGGUAUUUGCCUCCAAGUGAGGAAUAACUGCCAGAAAGGGUAGUACAUGACGCCUACUGUCUUCGGAUUAAAGGAUUCAUCCGCUAUGGGAGCAGCAGGCGUUGGAUUAGGUGGUUGGUAGGGUAAUGGCCUACCAAGCCGACGAUCCAUAGCUGGUCUGUGAGGCUGAUCAGAUAGACUGGAACUGAGACACGGUCCAGACUCCUACAGGAUGCAGCAGUGAGUAAUCUAGCACAAUGGGGGAAAUCCUGAUGGAGCAACGCCGGUUGAAGGAUGAAGGCCGGCGGGUUGUAAACGUCUUUUAUGAGUGAAGAAUAUGACGGUAACUCAUGAAUAAGCACCGGCUAACUACGUG
This 451-nucleotide ribosomal RNA is filed under the name uncultured bacterium. Its description in RNAcentral is "partial 16S ribosomal RNA". It matches the Rfam family "Bacterial small subunit ribosomal RNA", at positions 28 to 507 of the family's 1533-position model. The record is from RNAcentral.